AUCCAGAUGACUAGUCGCAAAUAGGACGAAACGCACAUCCUGGAU
This is a non-coding RNA of Schistosoma rodhaini, 45 nucleotides long. The record is from Rfam. NCBI's taxonomy places the organism in Eukaryota, Metazoa, Platyhelminthes, Trematoda, Strigeidida, Schistosomatidae.